This is a long non-coding RNA of Sarcophilus harrisii (Tasmanian devil), 947 nucleotides long. RefSeq lists it as uncharacterized. The record is from RefSeq and is a predicted model, not a curated record. The transcript has 4 exons. NCBI's taxonomy places the organism in Eukaryota, Metazoa, Chordata, Mammalia, Dasyuromorphia, Dasyuridae.
ACUUGGAUCUCUCUUUUCCUUAGCUGUGAAUCAAGGGGCAUGGAAUAAAUGACCUCACAGGUCCCCUUCAUUGUUAUAUUCCACGAUGUAAACAUAAUGGGAGGGGUCAGUGCUAAUAGGACAGAAAGGGCCCCUUGCUCCUCUUAAGGAAAAAAAAAAUCAUAUGGGAUGGAAUUGAUGUAUGAGAUCUUGUCAUAAAGCUAGAUCCAAGUUUGGAGCAUAGAUAUCAGUUCUUAAGUCACAAGAAUUGAACAGAGGAGAUGGUAGGAGCAGGACAAUGGGUCUAGUGUCCAGCACCUAGCAUGGCCAGAAACUUCAUUCAACAUUCCCCAGCAGCAGAUUUUCAGUGUCACCUUCUUCAAAGGAGGCCUUGUUUUCAUACUUUGGGAUCUUCAGUAUCUAGUAGAGUGUCUGGCACAGAAUCCGGCUCCCCCUUACCCCCUUUCUUCCAAAAGGAGGAUCAGCCUUACCUGUCUGCUUUUGUGAGGAUUAAAAAUCACCAGGUAUGGGGGAGAGAGUUUCUCAAAGGCUCCUUGUUCCCUGAGGGCCAUCACACUAAAUGGAGGAUGACGAUGAAGAUCUGCUUUCUGUAGCCAUGAGGAACACAUUCCAGCAUUUUGACUAAGCCCUUGAACUUGUCCCAGUCUCAGAAGUGCUCAUCUGUACCUCUGCCAGCAGAUGGAGAUGUUUGACAACAGAGAAAAUAGCCCAACUAAAGCCAUCAUCAAUCACUUCACUCUGAAGGCUCCAACAAUGCAGGACCAGUAUUGGUUCAGUGGAAUCUUCUUCUUCUAAAGCACCAUUUCCCAAGCUAAUUUGACUACAGAACACAUUGGGUCUUGUAAUAAAUCAACAAACUUACCAAUGUUGCUCUAGGGGCCUUUUAUAACAGGUAAAGAAUAUCCCUGGGGUAAGGGAUAAGGGAGAGGUAUUUGGGGGCAAAAUAG